CCUACGGGAGGCAGCAGUGAGGAAUAUUGGUCAAUGGUCGGGAGACUGAACCAGCCAAGCCGCGUGAGGGAGGAAGGUACAGAGUAUCGUAAACCUCUUUUGUCAGGGAACAAAGGCGGGGACGUGUCCCCGGAUGAGUGUACCUGAAGAAAAAGCAUCGGCUAACUCCGUGCCAGCAGCCGCGGUAAUACGGAGGAUGCGAGCGUUAUCCGGAUUUAUUGGGUUGAAAGGGUGCGCAGGCGGUCUGUUAAGUCAGCGGUAAAAGACCGGGGCUCAACCCCGGCCCGCCGUUGAAACUGGCAGUAGCGAGUUGGAGAGAAGUAUGCGGAAUGCGCGGUGUAGCGGUGAAAUGCAUAGAUAUCGCGCAGAACUCCGAUUGCGAAGGCAGCAUGCCGGCUCCACACUGACGCUGAGGCACGAAAGCGUGGGUAUCGAACAGGAUUAGAUACCCUUGUAGUC
This 459-nucleotide ribosomal RNA is filed under the name uncultured bacterium. RNAcentral describes it as "partial 16S ribosomal RNA". It matches the Rfam family "Bacterial small subunit ribosomal RNA", at positions 338 to 795 of the family's 1533-position model. The record is from RNAcentral.